Long non-coding RNA from Brassica rapa (field mustard), 1323 nucleotides. RefSeq lists it as uncharacterized. Lineage: Eukaryota; Viridiplantae; Streptophyta; Magnoliopsida; Brassicales; Brassicaceae. The record is from RefSeq and is a predicted model, not a curated record.
AGGAGACAAGACACAAAGCUUUGGUUACCCAGUUCCCUUACGGUACGUCUGGGGGAAGAACUACGCUUCCAAUCCACUAUCUCAAGUAUAAAGAGAGUAAUACAAGAGAUGAUUUGUCAAGCUACUACAAGACCGUAGCUAGACCAAGAACUAACACCCUUAGUUCUUCUAAAACAGACUGCUCCACCUAUCAGGUACAAAACGGAAUACCCUAGCCGUCAUGGGCUUGAGCUCUUGUUACUUCAACUCUUUGUUAUGGGCUUUAGACUUAGGCCCACUGAAGUGAGGAAUAGAGACAACAGCCCGACAAACUCCACCUUUGUCUCUGUCCGAGUCUUUGCGAAACCUCCUCAAUCUCUUUCUUCGCCGACUCCUUCUCUCUCUCUCAAAUCGGAACUUAUUCCCGGUGAAUCUCUACCGAUUCUCCUCUAUAACUCUUCCGAGUACUCACUCUUUGUUUCUUUAGCUUCUCAUCACUCAUGCAACCGUUGAUGUGAGCUAUUUCCUCUGAAAUGAAAACUUCAGCUCGCGACUUUUACUAGCCACUUAAUUCAGUGACAAGUCCGAUCUACUCCACCGCAGACCCUUUCACCAGUACCUGAUUUCGCUUCUAUUAGAAAACCAUUAAGAGCUAAGCAACAUCGAGAUUCGUCGACUAAUCUCUCGUUUGUACGCUCUCAAGUUGAAGACUUUUCCAAGCUUCGAUCUUCAUUCUUCAGCUUACCAACCAAUCUCUGUUUGUCGAAGACAUCAAGAUCCAACUUCAAGUCAUCUUUCUGUGAGGUAACCUUAUCGUAGCAGUAGUGUGUCAACCCUAGUGAAAACCCGUAAGGAUUGACACUGCUAAAACCAAUAAGUUACUUGCGUUAAGAAUACCAUUAAUCUCUAAGAAAACCAUAGAAUAUCCUUAAUAAAAAAAAACCUUUAUCCUGCUGAUACCGUAGAUAAAUCUCCUUUCAAACUUUACCAUUUGAUAGUUCUGUGUGUUGAUUUCCUGUUACCGAUACUAAUCAACCUUAGUAUCCGUUUGUAUCCCUUUUGCGAGGUCCUUCAAUCAACCAAACCAGGAACCUCGGGAUGCUUCAUGUCUACUACCGGAUUACCUUGAGAAGUCCGAGACACUUCUCGAAACUCUUCCCAGGAGACAAGACACAAAGCUUUGGUUACCCAGUUCCCUUACGGUACGUCUGGGGGAAGAACUACGCUUCCAAUCCACUAUCUCAAGUAUAAAGAGAGUAAUACAAGAGAUGAUUUGUCAAGCUACUACAAGACCGUAGCUAGACCAAGAACUAACACCCUUAGUUCUUCUAAAACAGACUGCUC